GACGAACGCUGGCGGCGUGCUUAACACAUGCAAGUCGAACGGAAAGGCCCUGCUUGCAGGGUACUCGAGUGGCGAACGGGUGAGUAACACGUGGGUGAUCUGCCCUGCACUUCGGGAUAAGCUUGGGAAACUGGGUCUAAUACCUGAUAGGAACCAUCUUUAGUGUGGUGGUUGGAAAGUUUUUUCGGUGUAGGAUGAGCUCGCGGCCUAUCAGCUUGUUGGUGGGGUAAUGGCCUACCAAGGUGGCGACGGGUAGCCGGCCUGAGAGGGUGUACGGCCACAUUGGGACUGAGAGACGGCCCAGACUCCUACGGGAGGCAGCAGUGGGGAAUAUUGCACAAUGGGCGCAAGCCUGAUGCAGCGACGCCGCGUGGGGGAUGAAGGCCUUCGGGUUGUAAACUCCUUUCGCUAGGGAAGAAGCUUUGUUGUGACGGUACCUAGAUAAGAAGCACCGGCUAACUACGUG
Molecule: ribosomal RNA, 466 nt
Filed under: uncultured bacterium
Lineage: Bacteria
Description: partial 16S ribosomal RNA
Rfam family: Bacterial small subunit ribosomal RNA
Source: RNAcentral